GCAGUAUAAAAAUCAUAUAAAUAAAUAUUUUAAAUCUUUGGGUGAAUUAUGUAUUAACGAUUCUAAUGAAUUUGCACGAAACACAUACUAUGAUAAUAAAAAUAAUGAUAAUGUUACAAGUAUAUUAAACACGGAUGAUGUAGUUGUAGAUGGGCUUGACAAUUUGAAGGACACGACUAGUCAGGGUGAAGAAAACAAAAUCAAAUCUAUUUCUAAUUUAAAAAACAAAGGCGACACAGGAGAACAUAUAAAAAGUUCAGGAGAGGGCGUGAAUGAUUAUUUAGGAGGCAUAGGUUGUAACAGCAUGAUGGAUCAUAAUAGUAACGAUAAAACGGACAAAACGGGCAAAACGGACAAAACGGACAAAACGGACAAAACGGGCAAAACGGACAAAACGGACAAAACGGGCAAAACAGACAAUGAAAAUAAUGGUAGCAAUAAGGGUGGUGAUAGUGAUAGCAAUACAAAAAGUAAAAAUAGUAAUGAAGAUAUAACUACUUAUAACAUAGAUGUAUUGCAAAAUUUUUCAAUUCAGAAGUUUUUUUAUCAAAUAUUAAUAGAUUUAGACAGAACAAUGUAUAUAAUUAAAAAAAACCAAGAAUAUUAUAAAAAAUAUAACAUAAAUACAGAUAAUUUUUUGCUUUCUAUUAACAUAUGUGAAACUAAAGCAAAGUUAAAUUUGUUGUUACAAAUGUAUGUUCUUUUUAAGCCUGAAUUAGGGUAUGUCCAGGGAAUGUCCUACAUCGCCUUGGUGUUUCUGUUACACUGUAAAUUAGAGAAAGCCUUUGUUUAUUUCUCAAAUUUCAUGGAUCGAAAAAAUAUAUUCAACAUGUACAGUUUUAACAAGGAAGAAAUAAAAAUUUACAUAUAUACUAUUAAGGAAAUAUUAUCUAAACAAAAUAUAGAAACAUAUAAAGAAAUUGUCAAACAUUAUAACAUAGAUAAUAUUUUCAUUCAAUGGAUGUAUACAAUUUUUUUAACGUAAUUUAACUUUUUUUUUUUUUUUUUUUUUUAUUAUAAUAUAUAUGUAAACUUGUAUAUGUAUUAUUUUAUAUAAAUCUACUAAUCGCUUCUUGUUACUUUAUUUUUUUCUCACAGGUGUUUACCUUUUCAAAUUUUUAUCCGCAUAUUUGACAUUUAUACUUUUUACGAAAAUAUAAUAUAUGAGGUAAUUUAAAAAAAAUGACGACAUACAAAUAAUUUGAUCAUAGGAGUUUAUUUAUUGUACACAUGUAUACACUUAUAUAUAUAUAUAUAUAUAUAUAUAUAUAUACAUAUGUUUUUUCUUUUUUUUUUUUUUUUUCAAUUUAGACCAUAUUAUGUAUUUUUACAUAUAUUAAUAAGCUUCAUUCAAUGGAUAACGUUGACAGUUUAAUCAAAAAUUUACCAUCCUUCUCUUUUAACACGCACAUACAAGUAAUUUAUUCAGAAAUACAUUUUUUUUUUUUUUUUUUUUUUUUUUUUUACACUAUUUUAUUUAUUGAUCAUUACAUUAUUUGUAACUUAUUGUUACUGUUCACUAUAUUAUAAUUUUUACUCGUUUUUAACAGGAAGACAAAUUUUGGAAUAUGUUAAAAAAGUCGAAAAUAAAAAAAAGAAAAAUACUUUAUUAUAGGGAAAA
This is a long non-coding RNA of Piliocolobus tephrosceles (Ugandan red Colobus), 1621 nucleotides long. The record is from Ensembl. NCBI's taxonomy places the organism in Eukaryota, Metazoa, Chordata, Mammalia, Primates, Cercopithecidae.